GUUCGUAUAGCUCAGUGGUAGAGCGCGAGAUUGCAAAUCUUGAGGUCCCCGGUUCGACCCCGGGUGCGAACU
This 72-nucleotide transfer RNA is filed under the name Geotrichum reessii. RNAcentral's name for it is "Galactomyces reessii tRNA-Cys". It matches the Rfam family "tRNA". From Rfam's summary of the family: Transfer RNA (tRNA) molecules are approximately 80 nucleotides in length. The record is from RNAcentral. RNAcentral also lists the same sequence under 1 other name. Lineage: Eukaryota; Fungi; Ascomycota; Dipodascomycetes; Dipodascales; Dipodascaceae.